RNAcentral lists this ribosomal RNA (299 nucleotides) under uncultured bacterium. RNAcentral describes it as "partial 16S ribosomal RNA". It matches the Rfam family "Bacterial small subunit ribosomal RNA", at positions 333 to 648 of the family's 1533-position model. The record is from RNAcentral.
CCAUUCCUACGGGAGGCAGCAGUGGGGAAUAUUGCACAAUGGGGGAAACCCUGAUGCAGCAACGCCGCGUGAGUGAAGAAGUAUUUCGGUAUGUAAAGCUCUAUCAGCAGGGAAGAAGAAAGACGGUACCUGACUAAGAAGCCCCGGCUAACUACGUGCCAGCAGCCGCGGUAAUACGUAGGGGGCAAGCGUUAUCCGGAGUUACUGGGUGUAACGGGAGCGUAGGCGGCAUAGCAAGUCUGAAGUGAAAGCCCGUGGCUCAACCGCGGAACUGCUGUGAAAACUGUUAAGCUGGAGUA